RNAcentral lists this ribosomal RNA (426 nucleotides) under uncultured Actinomycetes bacterium. Its description in RNAcentral is "bacterial SSU rRNA". It matches the Rfam family "Bacterial small subunit ribosomal RNA", at positions 233 to 671 of the family's 1533-position model. The record is from RNAcentral. Lineage: Bacteria; Bacillati; Actinomycetota; Actinomycetes.
GCGGCCUAUCAGCUUGUUGGUGAGGUAAUGGCUCACCAAGGCGACGACGGGUAGCCGGCCUGAGAGGGUGACCGGCCACACUGGAACUGAGACACGGUCCAGACUCCUACGGAAGGCAGCAGUGGGGAAUAUUGCACAAUGGGCGAAAGCCUGAUGCAGCAACGCCGCGUGAGGGAUGGAGGCCUUCGGGUUGUAAACCUCUUUUAGCAGGGAAGAAGCGAAAGUGACGGUACCUGCAGAAAAAGCACCGGCUAACUACGUGCCAGCAGCCGCGGUAAUACGUAGGGUGCAAGCGUUGUCCGGAAUUAUUGGGCGUAAAGAGCUCGUAGGCGGUUUGUCGCGUCUGCUGUGAAAAUCCGAGGCUCAACCUCGGACCUGCAGUGGGUACGGGCAGACUAGAGUGCGGUAGGGGAGACUGGAAUUCCU